GGGGGGGGGGGGGGGGGCUGGGGUUUUUCCCAGGGGUGUUGAAUUGUUUUAAAAAAUCUGAUUUAUUUUACCUUUAUGAUCAUGUGACACAACCUGCUGGAUGCAAAGAGCAGUGACAACCAGGGGUCACCUCUCACCUUUCACCACUCCUGGAGGUCACCUGGGUUUCACCCCCUUUCCUCUGAAAAGUGGGAACACAUUCACUCCCUCUGAUGGAUUUAAAAAAAAAUACAAAAAAAAGAAAGGAGGAAAAAAAUAAAAAGGUGGCCAUAAGAGAUGAGUGGAACUUCUAAGCAUGAUCAUGCCAAUACAAUUCCCUCUAUAUUCCCAAGGGAUUGUGAAGGGGUGUUCAGGUGGAGAGCAGGACAGGGGACUUGAUGGAUGCUGAAGUGGAUGGUUGGGCGCUGGCUUUUGCACUCCGAAGCAAGGAGCCAUUCAGAAGGGUGACACGACAAGUUCACAGAAGUACUGUAUAGGUUGUAUGACUUUCUUACAUGAGAUUGUGUGAAUUUCUCUUCUAUGCAUUACUUGUACAAAAUGAUUGGACGUGGCACCCUAUUGAAUACAUCCUCUUGUUGAAAGGUUUGGAAUUCUCUCAGGAUGACAGACAGCUGGAGAGGCCCAAUGACUGAAUGUGUUUGGCCGUCAUUGGUCGCCCUUUAUCCAGUCAGAUUGAUGUUUGGGAAUUAUAAGUGGGGUUAUAUGUGGUAAUAGAAGUUGCCUCCAAGCACAGAUCUAGGAACAGUUGAUGUGUCACAGCUUGACCCGAACUACUAAGGUGAUUAUUUGAUAUUGCGUCCUGGAUCAGUUUUAAUGGUGGUAUUUUCCACCGAUUCCUUGUGGUGAGAUAGGAGUGGCCCCUGCCAUGGCUCUGAUCCAGGAUCAGUAUAAGCUUUGCCAAACCUGGAAGGUGAGGUGACAAAUUGAUCUGGCUGUUGAUCAGUACUUGGGGUGGGGGUGGGGGGGGGGUGCCUUGCUGGGAGUUUCAAUGCUAGAAUCAUGUUCCAUUUCCUCUGUUUUUAGUGAAAUUAUUGAGACAGAAAACAUAUUUGGUGAAUGUGGUGCUUAGACCCCUUGACCUUUAAACAGACAGACAACACACCAGCACACGCGCGAACAACCCCAUCUGUUUCCCCAGUUCACAGUCACAGCUCUAUCACCCCCAACAACACACUCCAGUAAUACUUUUUCUUUCUCUCGCUCACACACACACACACACACACACACACACACACACACACACACACACAAUCACCAUCACCAUCUUAGUAUGUUUUAUGCCCCUCUCGUGUUCAUUGUCUAAAAUUUUGCAAUAUUUGUGUGUACAGCAGUAUUUUAAUAAAGAAUACCAAAACAUAGUGUUUCUCUCAUGCUUGAACAUAUGAAGUGUGUAUAACUCUUUAUUUUAAUAUUUUAAUACAUACUUCUGUCAGUCAGUCCAAAGGACUCCAGCUGUCAAUCCUAAACGGUUGUCUUUCCCCUCCACACCCGGUAAUAGUUCUACACCCUGUGUUGUCACGACGACCAUUGACAGACACUGCAUUAGGGUUUAGCUGUUAUCUUUGAGGUUGAAUACAUUAAUAAAUGGGUAAAACAAGAAUACAUAUAUAUUUUUUUUUUAUGAAUACAUUCUUCCAGCAUACACAUGACUGUCAGUUGAUGUGAGACAACGGCAAAGAGGUUCCUCUUCUACUGAGCUCAGAGUAACCAUGUAGACGUUGCCGAUAAGCAGUAAUGGUAAAUGUAAUAUUAAUGGCAGUCAGUGGACACUGGUGCAGGUGAUAACGUCUUUAGC
Molecule: long non-coding RNA, 1795 nt
Organism: Esox lucius (northern pike)
Lineage: Eukaryota; Metazoa; Chordata; Actinopteri; Esociformes; Esocidae
Source: Ensembl